This 234-nucleotide long non-coding RNA is filed under the name Mytilus galloprovincialis (Mediterranean mussel). Lineage: Eukaryota; Metazoa; Mollusca; Bivalvia; Mytilida; Mytilidae. The record is from RNAcentral.
GUUGAGAAUAAAUUCAUGUCUUUUGAUCAACUUAGAAUAUAUUUUUUUCUAAAUUAAUCAGUGAUGGACUUCUCUGAAAAGAAAUUUAAAGGCCCAACUGAAUUAACGACACAGAGGACAAUAGUUAUUGUAUUUAUUCAGUGGGACAAUAGAACAGACAAAAUUUCAAAUACCUUGACCAAGAGGAGAUGACUCUGGAAAACUUGCAUUUGGUUCCAAUAAGGAAAGUAAAAA